AGUGAACGCUGGCGGUAGGCCUAACACAUGCAAGUCGAACGGCAGCACAGUAAGAGCUUGCUCUUACGGGUGGCGAGUGGCGGACGGGUGAGGAAUACAUCGGAAUCUACUUUUUCGUGGGGGAUAACGUAGGGAAACUUACGCUAAUACCGCGUACGACCUACGGGUGAAAGCAGUGGAUCUUCGGACCUUGCGCGAUUGAAUGAGCCGAUGUCGGAUUAGCUAGUUGGCGGGGUAAAGGCCCACCAAGGCGACGAUGCGUAGCUGGUCUGAGAGGAUGAUCGGCCACACUGGAACUGAGACACGGUCCAGACUCCUACGGGAGGCAGCAGUGGGGAAUAUUGGACAAUGGGCGCAAGCCUGAUCCAGCCAUACCGCGUGGGUGAAGAAGGCCUUCGGGUUGUAAAGCCCUUUUGGUGGGAAAGAAAAGCAGCGGGUUAAUACCCCGCUGUUCUGACGGUACCCAAAGAAUAAGCACCGGCUAACUUCGUG
RNAcentral lists this ribosomal RNA (492 nucleotides) under uncultured bacterium. RNAcentral describes it as "partial 16S ribosomal RNA". It matches the Rfam family "Bacterial small subunit ribosomal RNA", at positions 29 to 507 of the family's 1533-position model. The record is from RNAcentral.